Manis javanica (Malayan pangolin) is the source of this 422-nucleotide non-coding RNA. NCBI's taxonomy places the organism in Eukaryota, Metazoa, Chordata, Mammalia, Pholidota, Manidae. The record is from RefSeq and is a predicted model, not a curated record.
GUCGACAGUGAAAAGGAAGUUGAAAAUGGUUAGUGAUUUGGAAAAGAUGACCUUGCGAAUGCUGUUUCAGGCUAAGGUGUUUAGCAUUGCGCUGAAGAGGAAAGCCACACAGCCUCUGGAUUUUCCUGGCUCAUGUACCUGCUUCUGCUCAACAAUGCAUGGAUGAGCCCUAGAACUUGACCAGGCCUCUGUAUGAGAGAGAAGCCAUGAACUAGAAUUCUCCAGUAGCAAGAACUAUCUCUGCAAGACUGAAGAGGAGGCCCCAAAACAACUACUGAUGGCAGCUAUGGCACCUGGCAAGAUGGUUGGCAGUGAACAGCUAGAAGCCCUAGAGAAAUAAAGGUUCAUAGAUUCAGGAUAAUGUCCUCUACCCGUUGUCUGAGAAGUUACGAAGGAGUGGAGUGCAAAACAGUGUGAAUGGA